Molecule: long non-coding RNA, 1157 nt
Organism: Pomacea canaliculata
Lineage: Eukaryota; Metazoa; Mollusca; Gastropoda; Architaenioglossa; Ampullariidae
Exons: 2
Source: RefSeq, a predicted model, not a curated record
ACUCACAUGAUAUUGUUUUACAUGUAUAUAUUAUUAUUGCAUGUAUGUCCCUAUUUCGCGGAAAUUCGUUUAUCGCAGCUGAUCAUGGCACCUAUCCCCCGCGAUAAACGAGGGAACACUGUACACCUUUGCAGCUGAGACCCAGGCCAUUCAUCUGGCAAUUGCUGCCAUUGAGGCAGAAUAUGCUUAUCAACUGCAACAAGACAGAACAGUUUUGUUGUUUGCAAAGAUGCAUUAAUGGUUUUUAUAAGGCUAAAUAGUAGCACCUUGAAAUUCCAGCCAGAGAAAUAUGUGCUGGGUCAUUCACGCUGUUAGCUGCUGAUCAAAAGAUCAUCUUUUUCUCCUUUCACAAUGAUAGUUGUUAUAAUACUUCCCCACCACCACUACUCUCUAAGAAAAAAUUAUGACAUAGUUGUGUUACAUGACAAAAUCUUGAAAUAUCGAUCUAAAAUAUCUUUUCUGUGCUUUAACUUUGUUGACCUCAAAAUAAUUGGAAAGUGCUUCAUUUCAUCAAUGUUGCUUCUCACUGAUGCACUUUGAAUUUUGUGAAUGUUAAUUAGGUUUUGGCUUUGAGAACAUCUGAAGAAUAAUAAGGUAUGUAUUAUUUUUAUUAGGUGGUGAACUGUACCAAAGUAAGGAAUGGGCAACUACAUUUUCAGUUUUCCUGCUUUGUCCUCACCAAUAAGAAAUUUUAUGCUAUAGAUAUCUAUUAUGUAACAUGGAUAUGAUAUUACAUCUUCACAUUUAUUGUACAGUGGCUGUUUUGGGAUAAUUUCCAUGGAAGUCAAUGGAUCAUCCAUUCAUGUUGUGACUAAUACCAACUGACCACCAGUUAAGGUGGUCUUCUGGCAAAGCUCACCAAUUAUCUUCAGCAUCAAGCAAGUUUUGCCUGUUCUACCUCUGCCUAUCUCAGCGCCAACCACUACACCAUGAGGGGGCAAUGCCUACCAUUUGGCCUGGCAUAACCAAAGUAGCUGUAACAGGACACGAAAUUCAGCAAAUAUUCUGGCCUUUCCAUGCUUGAUCACUGUCAACAUCAUGGAGGACAUCUAACUGCCUUUGUUGCGUAAGUAUUUGCUUAUACUUUAGCCUAGAGUUUUGAGUACACAUGGCACCUGACAGACAUGAAGACAGCAAUUAAAAGCGAGGUUCUAAAG